This is an RNA transcript of Panicum virgatum (switchgrass), 3061 nucleotides long. It is a transcript of the gene named WD repeat domain-containing protein 83-like, with no coding region annotated. The record is from RefSeq and is a predicted model, not a curated record. NCBI's taxonomy places the organism in Eukaryota, Viridiplantae, Streptophyta, Magnoliopsida, Poales, Poaceae. The transcript has 10 exons.
CGCUCAUCCCUCAGCCCACGCACGCGCCGCCGUAGUUCGGUCUUCCGUCUCCCGACCUGGCGACCCGCCGCACCGCUGGCCGCCGACCGUCGGCGCCGCCCACCGCCGCCUGCGAGGCUGUGCCUCCACCCCACGCCGCGUUGUCUCCCUCCCUCGAUCCUCGACUGCUACGUCCCACCGGGCGUCGGCCCCUGCUUGGGCGCACCGCUCGUCCGGUACUCCGGUCCCGCCGCCCGUCGGGGCCCCGCGGCGUCACGCGGUCGCGCCCCUCCACUGCUGCACGCUAGCCUGUAGUCGCCUCCCGCCUGGCCGAGGGCCACCCCAACGUGUCCACGCUCGUGUUUGGUACUGCUGGUCCGUAUUUCUCUCUCACUAUAUUCCAUAAUUCCAUUCAGUACCGAUUCCAUUUGUAUUGUUUCUUUAUUCAGACGUUGAGUGGUUAAUUGAGUAAUUGGUGCAUCCAUUUGUAUUGCUGUUGCGUAUUCCUGAUCCUUAAAUUGGCAUUGAUUCUACCGGUGGCAACUACAACUGUGGAAAGAGUAUUUUCUAGGUUGAAUCUUUUACUCUAGGUUGAGUCUAGUAAAGAAUUAAAUUCGAAAUCGCAUGGAUGAUAAGUUAUAUUGAAUGAUUGUUGGUCACUUUUAUUGAGCGUGAAAUUUUCUGUAAUAUAAGUGAGGAUGACAUAAUUCACACUUUCAUGCCCAUGAGGAAGCCUAAAGCAAAAGCAUUAGAUUAGACUAGUAUUGUCAUCUUCUAUUUAUGUAGAAGUAAGAUCUUAUUGAUGUUGCAACCUUUGAUAUUGUAAAUUAUUCUAAUUGUGAACUAAAUUAUUGAAUCAAAUGUAUUAUAGGAUCUUUUACUUAUGUUGUUAUUGUAAAUUUGAUCAUUAUACCAUAUUAUUGCCCAAGUGCUAUUAGAUGUCGUCCUCGGGGACGGCCACUCAGCAUCUGCCGCGGACGGAGGCGCGGUCACUGUCGGGGCACGAGGGGGCGGUGCUCGCGGUGCGCUUCAACCGCGAUGGCAACUACUGCCUGAGCUGCGGCAAGGACCGCACCCUCUGUCUCUGGAACCCGCACACCGGCGCCCACGUCAAGACCUACAAGUCCCACGCACGCGAGGUCCGCGACGUCCACUCCUCCUCGGAUAACGCGAAGCUGGUGUCCUGUGGCGCCGACAGGCAGAUUUUCUACUGGGACGUUGCCUCGGGCCGCGUCAUCCGCAAGUUCCGUGGUCACAACAGUGAGGUCAAUUCAGUAAAGUUUAAUGAGUACAAUGCUGUUGUAGUCUCAGCUGGUUAUGACCGUACAGUGCGCGCAUUUGACUGCAGGUCACAAAGCAGUGAUCCAAUUCAGACUAUUGAUACUUUUCAAGAUAGUGUAAUGUCAGUUAACCUAACAAAGACUGAAAUAAUUGCGGGCAGUGUUGACGGUACUGUUCGUACAUUUGACAUUCGCAUGGGUAGGGAGACUGUUGAUAAUCUGGGGCAUCCUGUGAACUGUAUAUCAUUAUCAAAUGACAACAAUUGCCUUUUAGCUAACUGUUUAGAUUCUACUGUGAGGCUUCUAGACAAGUCAUCAGGAGAACUGUUGCAGGAGUACAAGGGGCAUGCGUGCAAGUCCUUCAAGAUGGAUUGCUGCCUGACGAAUGAUGAUGCAUUUGUUGUUGGUGGAUCUGAGGAUGGCUAUGUUUUCUUCUGGGAGUUAGUGGAUGCACCUGUUGUUGCAAGAUUCAGGGCACAUAGUUCUGUGGUAACCAGCAUCAGUUACCACCCAACAAAGGCGUGCAUGUUGACAUCUUCUGUGGAUGGUUCUAUACGUGUUUGGACCUAAGACCAGUUGUUGACGUGUCACAUAUAUUGUUCCUCCAAAUCAUCCAAUUAUCUAGCGGCGACGAUAAAAAAGGUGGAUGCAUGUUCUAACCUAUUGGGAGUCCUGUACACCAUGUUACUGUGCCAGUGUGCCGCUAAGAGAAUGCCCGACUGUUGAACCUAUUUGUGAAGCACAAAAUGUUCGAAGGCGGUAUACUGACAUGUACACGCUUGGAUGGUGGAAGAAACAAGUUGCAGGUGUAUGGUGGUUGUACUUGGACUGGGGCAUAAAACAAGUUGGCAAGGGAGCAGUAUUCAGCGUGAGGCGAGACGGGAGGUAACGCCUUUUAUAUAGCUCGAGAGCACCGUGACUGACUCGGCUGUAGUUUUCACAAUUAUUUCGCCUUGCUGUCUGAUGUUAUGGAGCAAUAGAGUGUAUGUUUGAGAAGUAUAGGAAACAAUAGGAAUAGAGUGUAUGUUUGAGAAGUAUAGGAAACAAUAGGAUCGAGAGGCAUCAGGAAUUCACGUACAUCAGUUGUGACAGUCGGCUCAGCGUGGUUGAUGGCCUCAGCUGCAGCUGCGUCAGGUGUGACAGUCGGCUCAGCGUGGUCGAUGGCCUCAGCUGCAGGCGCGACGCGACUGAAGUAGUGCAGCGCAACGAUCUUGGGCAGCUAGCAAGUGACAAACUGACAAUGGACCAAUUGACCUGGUAUUUGGCUCAGGUGUGUGCUGAGCUUCAGAUCAACAUUGUGGAUAAAUAAAUCUAUAACAUCACAACCAGGAACCACAGCUUAAAGAUUUGGUCCACAUGGUUACUCUGAACAAUUUUCUUCAGCGUCUGCAUUAUGCUGGCUCCAUCGUUCAUUCAGUCAUUCAUCGCGUGCGCUUGCUGCUGUUUAGAGGGAAAAUUAAUAUUUGAUGGUCGCAUUGUUUCUUCAGUGUCAUAAGGUACUAUUUGCCACAUGAAAAGUCAGUAGAUGGUGGUCGCAUUGGACUGGAGCAUGGGAGAGAAUACGCUUGAGACGCACCAGGAAUUCUCCUAAUGCAUUCGAUCACUUUAGAUCCUCUGAGGAUAUAUUAGAUCUUCGCUUACAGCCCUGUUUCCAUUGUUGAUCACCAUGUCUUCAAUCAGUGUGGUGUGUAGCAAUACUUCCUCCUUCGCCAUGUACUCAUCUUUGUCUUGAUACUACGUACGUGGCAUGGCAGACUGUUUCUGGCAUCAAACGGAGCCUCUGUUUGGCCGAAAGGCCUGAA